Molecule: long non-coding RNA, 6242 nt
Filed under: Capsicum annuum
Lineage: Eukaryota; Viridiplantae; Streptophyta; Magnoliopsida; Solanales; Solanaceae
Description: long non-coding RNA (CANN_LNC019934)
Source: RNAcentral
AAGAAGGCAUUUGAGGGUAAGGGCUCAUCACUGGAAACCGUGUUUGCCGACACGGGAAUUUGGUACCAGGCUAAGUGAUCUUGAGUACUUGACUUUAUGUCAUUCCCAAAUUGGGAUUAUAGGUAGGAGCCCGGGCUAAGUGAUCUUGGGCACUACCAUUGGGUCGAGACACCAUGCUGUGUGAUCUUGUGUGUCUUCCCCUCACGUAUACUCUAAUCUCGGCGGCAACCGGGGUUUUAAAGUUGGUGUAAAUUAUGUAAGGUAUUUCACCUAGCUCAGUUGCAUUUCAUUGUUAUUGAAAACAAUUACAUUAUACCCAUGUGUUUUCAAAUAAUUUGAUAUGAAACUAAUUUAUAAUGGCUUUCACCUAUAUUGUGUAAAAAUAUUAUACUUCUAUUUUGAUUUCUCUGCAUACCAGUACUUUUGCAUUGACCCCCUUCUCUCCCAGGUUCGGAGGCACAGUCUAGGAGUCUAGAUAACAGUAAAUUUCUUUCGACAGAUCGCAGAAUCAAGUGGGGAGCCUUCUAUAUUUUGAAAGGUCUAACGUCUGCUAUUUCAUUUAUCAUUUAGUAGUUUUGGGUCUACUGGGGGCCUUGUCCCAGUUUUCAGAUAGACAUUGUUUCAGUCAUAUAGUAGAGAUUUCGCAGACUGUAUUAGAGAUGUUAAUUUAGAUUGCGGGACACUAUUCCCCAUUUUCAUUUUCGUAUGAUUCUUGACCAUGUUUCCGUUAUAUUGUGUAUCUUCCGUAUUUCUUUUGUCAUGAAUUAUGUGCAUGAUAUUAGACAGAUAGAGGUGUUUCGGGCCUUUAUGGUUCGGAAUGCUUGUCACGGCUAGGACCCCAGUUUGGGUUAUGACAAACUUGAUAUCAAAGCACGAUUCAUGGUCCCAGGGUGUCUGCGAAAUUACAUUGAGUAGAGUCUUGUUUAUGGGUGUGUAGCGCACCACACUUAUAAGCAGGAGGCUACUAGGCGUUUAAGAAUGUCUCUCUUUCUUCAUGUUCUAGUUCGUGCAAUAGAGUCAGAAUGUUCCUCUUUCAUACUCAAAUUUGUGCUAUGGUGUCGCCCAUAUGAAAGUAAUAGUCAUCCCAAUUCUUUCCUUACUCGAACAUUCUCAGACAUGUCUCAUCAUUGGGCUGAUUCAAGUACAGAAGUUUAGAGUCUAAAUGGUAUGGUUCGUUCAAUUCGAAUCAUAUAAGAUUUUUGUAGGGACUUGAGAAGAGUCCGUUAGUGCUUCAGAGUGUGUUGGUUUUAGUGUGAACCUUGAUUUUGAUGAAAUCGUGUUUUUCAGCCUGCAGUAUUAAGUUUAUUCAGUUCUUUUCAGAACUUAUGUUGCCAGUGUCACGCUUCAGAGGUAAUAAGGUGUAGCAGAAUAUUGGAACCAUAUUUCCACCCAAAUAGUAGCAUAAGUUAAAGUGUUGUUUUCAUGACCUAUUAGUAGUGAUAUUGGACCAAGAAGUUGGUGGUGUAAAGUCACAAAGUUAGAAGUCAAAGUGAGGGUGAUUUUGUGUAAAUGAAUAUUUCUGUUGAAUAACCGAUGUUUGAGGAUGAUUUACCCCUUUAUAGUGAUAAACUAAUAUGGUAGCUAGUAGCGUAUGUGGAUGGUAUGGUAGUCCAUGGAGGAAGUGUUUUACUCAAAUUUUAUUUAUACAGAAUAAUAUGUAUAUUUUUAGACCAUUAAAUAUUAUGUGUCAAUUUUCUAUCCCCUGUAAUAUGUAAUCUUGUUAUCAUGGUGUUUUUGAAAAAAAAUAAAUUAAAGUCUAGUGAAGCCGUGUGGGUCUCUUUCGAUUCACUAGCAUAUUUGCCUUGUCAUCCAUCUUAUUUUCUUGUUCAAAAUACAAAAUCAAAGUCUAGUGAAGCCGUGUGAGGUCUGUUUUGAUUCAUUAGCAACUUGUUGUUCUUUCGUUGGUUUAAUAUAUGUAUGGCUGAAUCUGUUUGCAUGAGAUUGAGUUGGUAAAGAGGUAAUUCAUCCUUGUGAGUUAGUUUAGUAUAAGGUAGAGAAGGAGUUUUUAGUUAGGGUGAUUUGUUGGUUGCUUGAAUGUGAAAAUGGCUAUAAUAACGAGAAGUUAUGGUUAUAGACUCAUGCUUGUUUGAGGAAUUUGAAGGCAGUCUAAAUGUAUGAUUGAGUGAGUAAGUAUGAGGUGAGAAAUCCGUAUAAGUAGAAAAGAUUGUAUGGGGUUAUAAUAUAAGAUUAAGGUUGAUCAUGUCUUUUAUGUGACCUUACCCCUUGACCCUCUUUUGUUGGUAGUUGUAAACUAGUACUACUUAUGAGAAAGUAUGUAGCAGAUUUUGAAGUAUUUGGGAUAGAAUGUUCCAAUUUAAUGAUUAGUAUAUUAUGUUGCACUCAUCAUUGGUGGUAGAUGAUUAAUGCUAGACCAUUGGCUUGAAUUUAAUGUAGGAUGUGGAUGUAAGAAUAGUGGCAUAAGAUUAAUGAUGUAUAUUUGUGGGAAUAAAUAUUAGUAGGCUUGAUGUGUUGAAAUAGUACAUGCUAAUGAGAUAUGACAAGGAAGACCAUAAGGUCAAGGUCGAUUAUUGUUGUUAUGAAGUUCUAGUGUACUAGUGUUUCUUGAUGUUUAUUUAAUGGUUUCCAAGUGAGAAUCAUGCGUAAGGUUGGGUUGUAAAAUCAUGUUUAGCACUAGACAUUAAGUUUGACCAGUUGAAGUUGAUAAAGGUAGAUGUGAUGAUUUUCUGAUCAAUGAUGUUAGUUAUAUGAAAGUCAUCUAAUAGGCUAGAACGAUGUAUGAAAUGACUUAAGUUUAAAUUGAUUCGUAAUGAAGUAUAAUGUUGUAGGUAUGGUGUAGAAGUAUGCCAAGGUGAUAUGAGGUUGCGGCAUAUUUUUCUAAGACUAUUACAUAAUUUGUGUGGCUAGUGGUACCAUUGAAUUGUUAAGUGGAGAAAGACUAGUUAGAUGGUAUAUGGUGAUCUAAAUAGCCAUGUUAAGUGUUAGAAUCUAAGUUUGAGUUCUGAAGGUUGAAUUGAUAGAAUAAGUGUGCAAGCAUUAUACUAUGACUAUUGGUGGCUAUGGAAAGAUAGAGUGUAUCCUGGAAGGUAGUCAUUCGGGUUAAGUCCUAUGAUAUGCAUGUAUUGUCAUUUUUUUCAGACCCUAGAGUGCACUAAGUGUAGUUCAGUUAGAAUCUGGUAAAGGAUCUCCCAAAUUUUAGAUGAUGACUUGAAGCUAAAGGGGAGAUGAUAGAACGAAUGACCAAGUAAGGCUCUCAGAUUUUAAUAGUGAUGCAGUAUGAUUUAGAACAUCUGAAUAUGAGGGUGAAUCUCAACCCAUUCCUACCUCAGUAUUUUUUUUUAGUUAUCUGAAUACUUACUCAUGACUUACGAUCCAGUUCUGUGAUAGUAGUUCAUGAUUUCUGUAUAUAAUAGAAAGUCACGUACUCUUCCAGUUCCAAGAUAAUGAGUUCUAGUUCAUUCAAGUAGUCGAAAUCACAUUCCUUAUGUUAUGAACUCUAGUUGAGGUCAUACAACUCAUGACACAUGUACUCACUCUUUAUAGUGUGCUCAGUCCCGUAUAAAAAUCUUUUCAUGCUUCAGGAUCUUAUGUUUUAACCUUUUAGUGACCCUUCCUAUGCAAUGAUAGUGGUGAUGAUGUAAAUGUUCUUGUUGAUGGAAGAUCAUAGUAUGCUUGUUUAGAUACGGCCAUAAGUAUGAAGUAAGAUUUGGGGCGAACUCUUUGCUACAUGUGAUGGUUAGUGGAAAAUUUUGUGUGUGUAUGUUUUUAGGAUAGCGUGUAGGAGUUAUAUUGAUAAUAGUGUAGAAACUAUGAGAAGUAUGUAUUUAUGGGUGGUUGCCUUGAAGUUAACAUGUGGUUAUAAAUUAGGCUUAAAUGACGUUUUGGGAUUGUAGUGGAAGGUCGCAAUAUGCAUUAGCGACUUCAUAUUAAGAGUUCAGAGUAGUCAUUGAAGUGGUAAGGCAUGUUAUGCUUAGAAUGUGAUCUUUAAAAGAGGUAUAGAAGGUGGCAUCAUAUGGUUUAGAAUAAUAGCGUGAUGUAGCAUGUUGUAUUUUUGUGACUUAGAGCUAGGCUUGAUCACGGAGUAAGGAUUAAGCUAUUUUAGACAUUAGUAGAAAAAUUUGUCAAUGCUCAUAUGAGAAAUUUAAGCUGAAUUAAAUGAAUAUCAUAUUUAUAGGGAAUAGUAUAGUUAAGGGAUAUUCGGGAAGUGCGCUAAGCCUGAAAGUAAGAAGUUGUAUUGCCAAAGGUCUGAAAAUUCUAUCCUAAUUUAGGAGUUAUAUGUCUAUAUUCCAGACUGCAGAGUAGUGUCAAUGUUGUGAUUUCCUCAACUGGAUGUCUUGUGUAAUCCAUACCCAAGAUUCAUGGCUCCCUAUUACCGCUAGAAUUUCUUUAGAGAAUUGUGCUGAAGAGAUACUCCAGUUAAGUAUGAGGGUGUAGUAUAAUUCAGUCUGUAUGGCCAAUAAGUAAGUUUAGCAUGACUUGUUUUCUUUUCUUUGCACUUAUUCAUGCUACUCGAAAUCUUAGACAUGCUACUAUUUCAAGAUAGAGUAUACCAGUAGUUACGAUUAUAGCCCAGUUUAUGCAUCAUGCAUUAAGUUCAGAUUCCAGAUGUUCAGUUAUGAUUCAAUUUUUAGGCGCCCUAUGUAUCGCCUCAGUUUUCUGAGUAUCUUAGUGAAUUGAGCAUUCAUAGAGGGACAUAGGGUUCCAAGGGGGAGAUACCCCAUUCAGCUGUAUACAUAGAUUCUUAUUACAAGCUCCGCACCAGUUGACAUUGCGUAUUCAGUCAUACGUUCAUAUGUCAUGUAUUGCAAAUGUAUGUCCAAUAGAAAAAGUUCAUCUUAUCAGUGUAUUCAAUUCUGCGUUCAUGAGAACAACUUAGUAAAAAAUCCACGCAUCAAGUAUGCAUGUUCAUUAUGAGAAUUCAGCUUAUAAGUAGCUUCGGUCGUGUAUUCCAUGCAUCAGAUAUUGUAACGCCCUGCAUUUUGGGCUAGAAUAAAAACAAUGAUUUUGAUGCAUUGCUAAUCCCGAAGCCAUAAAAAAAUCCUAUGCCAAUACGGCAUGUUAAUUAUUGCGUAGCAUGUGAAUCCGCUCCAGCUUGAAUUUAGACCAUAGAGGUCCUUCAACUCAAGGACGAGUUGGAACUAUUUUGAUCGACUAAGUUUUAGUAGACGUUGUAAAAUAUGUCAGUUUCCAUCGACCAUAACUCUCUAUGUAUGUUGAGUUAGGAAGCCUACUAUGUGUCAAAUGAUAGGUAUUCGAGUUAGCUUUCCAACGAUACCAAUUUGCCUAAAAUCCGACACCCGAGCAAGAAGUUAUAACCUUUCAAAGUGAUAGCGACACCUAACCAAUUACCCAUGGCUACUGGAAAGCAUAGGCGAUAGCCUAGGCGGCGCCUAUGUAAAGAUAGACGAUAGCCUAGGCAGCGCCUAUGUAAAGAUAGGCGAUGGGAUGAGCGGCGCCUAUGUAAGAAUUCUGGUGAAUUAAACACUCCGUCUUAAGGACAAAGUGGUCCUUUUCCACUCUUCUUAGCCCUAAAACACGAGAUUUAGUUCCAAGGACCCCAAAAUACAUAUUCCUUCAUCAAAAGUGAUCAAGAUUCUCCUUAGGGUUUCAAAAUAAAAACCCAAAUAGUUCAAGAUUCGAUCGUAGGUUUUCAAAGAUAAUUACAUAUUUGAAAUCACCAAUCCGCAAGCUUCAAGAAACAUCUAUCAUCCUUGGAAAUAGAGGUACGUGGAGUUAUCCAAAAAUCUCAUGGGUGUAGUCUUUAUGAACAUGCAUGCUUUUAAAUGGGGGUUUUCAAUCAAAUGCUAAUAUCUUGCUUUCAAUAUGAUUUCUAAGUCAUUUUCUUUAUGUCAUGGGAAUUGUUUGCCUAUAUACUUCAAUGGUUGAAACCAUGCAUAUGUGAUUUGAGAUUUUCCAUGGAAGUUUGAUAAAUAUGAAUGACAAAUUAUUUUCAAAUUCCCAUGAUAAUGUUUUGAUACUCCAUAUUAUAUUGUGAUCAACAAUAGAGAGCAUGAAUUUGAAAUAAAUAUUGUUCACCACUAGUAAAUGAUGAGGCACCUUGGUUUUACAUGAUUAUGCAUAUGUGGAUGUGAUAUUGAUGACUUGCAAGUCGGGUAUGAUGAUACCCUACAAAAUACGAUAUGCGAUUGAAUAAGAUGAAAUUUGAAUGCAUUGAUUUUACAUGAGAAAGGUGGAUGCCCGAAGAAGGCGUUUGAGACACAAGCAUACUCUAAUCUCGGCGGCAACCGAGGUUUGACAAUUGGUGUAAAUUAUGUAGGGUAUUC